Long non-coding RNA from Seriola aureovittata, 825 nucleotides. RefSeq lists it as uncharacterized. The transcript is spliced from 3 exons. Lineage: Eukaryota; Metazoa; Chordata; Actinopteri; Carangiformes; Carangidae. The record is from RefSeq and is a predicted model, not a curated record.
ACAAUGUUCUCCAGGCAGCGGCGGCAGAAGGUGUGCUGGCACGGCAGUACCUUGGCCGUGGUGUCCAGGCGCUCCAGGCACACCGAGCACUCCAGCAGAUCCAGAAGCGACGAAGACUCGUCCAUGUCGGCGGAGAGGGGUAGACAGUCAGUGAGGGGUGCCCAGUUUGCUUAUGGCUUGGCAAGUCAGGAAGCCCCUGGAUCGACAUCAAUGAGCCUAUGAAAGGAUGAGGGAGACAGAGAGAGAAGAAAGAAAAAAGAGAAGAGGAUGGAGAAAGACCGACGGAAAGAGAGAGACAGACUGACAGAGGGACAGAGAAAGUUGAAGAAAAAAGAGAGAGUGACCAAAAAAAGAGAGCGACAGAGGUAAGGAGAAGGAGAGAAAGAGGGGCUGAGGGAAAGACAGAGACAGAGACAGAGAGGGAGAGUAAGUAAUUACAGGACUCCCAGUGUUUUCAAAGCCCCUCUUUUAUGUCCCCCUUCCUGUGGCUGAGAAAAGGAGAAGCAGCGGAAAGGAAGAGGAGGAGGAGGAGAAGGAGGAGGAAGACUAAAGUCCAGCUUUAGUCCCACUCAGACAACAGGCACCAGUCAUCAACAUCACACACACACAAACACACUCAAAGUAAUUUAUAGCUUCUGUUUCAAAAGAAAGAAGAAGCAUGUGUGUGUGUGUGUGUGUGUGUGUGUGUGUGAUAGCACCAGUGAAAGAAGCAACAUUAGCAGUUGUAUUCAGUGGGUAAAAGUAACUAAGUACAUGUACGGAAGCACUGUACAUAACUAAGUUCAUUUUUUAAUGUACUUUAAGUAUUUCAAUGAUUCCACAACC